GUUUGAAAAGCUUGGAUUAUCAAAACACACAACAAAUGAUAGAACCAAAUAUAUAGAUGAUACAGUGAAGCACAAGGUCAAAAUUUUAAAACGGGAGUCUGGUGAAGGCAGAAAUUCAUCAGACUAUAGAGAUAACGAAAUUAAAAAAUGGCAGCUAGCUCCUCUUCGUAAGAUGGGACAACCAGUUUNAACCAGUUUUACCUCGGAGAUCCUCAGAAGAGAAAAGUGAAAAAAUACCAAAAGAGCCUACAACUGUUAUUUGCACAGGAGAAAAAGCUUCAAAACCAGGUACUCAUGAGAAGCAAGACACGAAAAAGAAGAAAGUUGAAAAAGGAGUUAAUGUACAUCCUCCUGCUUCUGCUUCCAAGCCUUCUGCAGAUC
Long non-coding RNA from Cebus imitator (Panamanian white-faced capuchin), 381 nucleotides. RefSeq lists it as uncharacterized. The transcript has 3 exons. The record is from RefSeq and is a predicted model, not a curated record. Lineage: Eukaryota; Metazoa; Chordata; Mammalia; Primates; Cebidae.